Liolophura sinensis is the source of this 260-nucleotide long non-coding RNA. RefSeq lists it as uncharacterized. The record is from RefSeq and is a predicted model, not a curated record. The transcript is spliced from 3 exons. NCBI's taxonomy places the organism in Eukaryota, Metazoa, Mollusca, Polyplacophora, Chitonida, Chitonidae.
GUUAGCAGGUCUGCUUUAUUGACUACACCAACGUAAUGACAAUGUAUCAACGUUUAUACCUACUUUCAUACACGUUUAUGUACGGCGUAUUCCUCAAUAUAUGUAGCCCACAUUAGAACGCUGACUGAGACUUUCUUCCGAUUGACUUUGAGCGAUGUUGUUCUCAGUUUGAUUCGACCUCAAGGAACCAUGUCUGUCUAACUGCGGGGUAGGGGAUUACCGAACAGAAAUCUGGAAAUCUGUUCCAUCCUACAGGAGAG